AUUGAACGCUGGCGGCAGGCCUAACACAUGCAAGUCGAACGAGUGGCGGACGGGAGAGCAAUGACUGGGAAACUGCCUGAGGGAGGGGGAUCAGUAAUGGAAACGGUAGCUAAUACCGCAUACUAUCGGCUGUGCCCAGAUGGGAUGAGCUUGUUGGAGGGGCAACGGCUGACCAAGGCGACGACCCCUAGCUGGUCUUAGAGGAUGACCAGCCAAACUGGAACUGAGACACGGUCCAUACGCCUACGGGAGGCAGCAGUGGGGAAUAUUGGGCAAUGGGGGAAAGGCUGAUGCAGCCAAGCCGCGGGGAUGAAGAAGGCCUUCCGGUUGUUAAGUACUUUCAGCUGGGAAGCGGUACCAACAGAAUAAGCCCCGGCUAACUUCGUGCCAGCAGCCGCGGUAAUAC
RNAcentral lists this ribosomal RNA (406 nucleotides) under uncultured bacterium. RNAcentral's name for it is "partial 16S ribosomal RNA". It matches the Rfam family "Bacterial small subunit ribosomal RNA", at positions 29 to 526 of the family's 1533-position model. The record is from RNAcentral.